CAAUAGCGUAUAUUAAAGUUGUUGCAGUUAAAAAGCUCGUAGUUGGAUUUGUGGCUGUCACGGGCGGCCUAUCACUUAGUGUUAGUGCUUGCCUGUGUCGCCAUCCUUGGGUGGAGCCCGUGUGGCAUUAGGUUGUCGUGCGGGGGAUGCCCAUCGUUUACUGUGAGAAAAUUAGAGUGUUCAAAGCAGGCUUAUGCCGUUGAAUAUGUUAGCAUGGAAUAAUGAGAUAGGACCUCGGUACUAUUUUGUUGGUUUGCGCACCGAGGUAAUGAUUAAUAGGGACAGUUGGGGGUAUUCGUAUUUCAUUGUCAGAGGUGAAAUUCUUGGAUUUCUGAAAGACGAACUACUGCGAAAGCAUUUACCUAGGAUGUUUUCAUUAA
Molecule: ribosomal RNA, 380 nt
Filed under: uncultured eukaryote
Lineage: Eukaryota
Description: partial 18S ribosomal RNA
Rfam family: Eukaryotic small subunit ribosomal RNA
Source: RNAcentral